Molecule: transfer RNA, 75 nt
Filed under: Candidatus Zambryskibacteria bacterium RIFCSPHIGHO2_01_FULL_43_27
Lineage: Bacteria; Candidatus Zambryskiibacteriota
Also listed under: 2 other names
Description: tRNA-Glu
Rfam family: tRNA
About the family: Transfer RNA (tRNA) molecules are approximately 80 nucleotides in length.
Source: RNAcentral
GGCCUUAUCGUCUAACGGUUAGGACGGAGCCUUCUCAAGGCUCAAAUCGGGGUUCGAUUCCCCGUAAGGUCACAA